CUGGCUCAGAUUGAACGCUGGCGGCGUGCUUAACACAUGCAAGUCGAACGCGAAAGGGACUUCGGUCCUGAGUAAAGUGGCGCACGGGUGAGUAACGCGUGGAUAAUCUGCCCUUAUGAUCGGGAUAACAGUUGGAAACGGCUGCUAAUACCGGAUACGCUCAAAAUGAACUUUUUUGAGGAAAGAUGGCCUCUGCUUGCAUGCUAUCACGUAAGGAUGAGUCCGCGUCCCAUUAGCUUGUUGGCGGGGUAACGGCCCACCAAGGCAACGAUGGGUAGCCGGCCUGAGAGGGUGGACGGCCACAUUGGAACUGAGACACGGUCCAGACUCCUACGGGAGGCAGCAGCUAAGAAUCUUCCGCAAUGGGCGAAAGCCUGACGGAGCCGACGCCGCGUGAACGAAGAAGGCCGUGAGGUUGUAAAGUUCUUUUCGGGAGGGGGAACAACCGUGGCAGGGAAUGGCCGCGGGAUGACGUGAAUCCCGGAAUAAGCCCCGGCUAACUACGUGCCAGCAGCCGC
This 518-nucleotide ribosomal RNA is filed under the name uncultured bacterium. RNAcentral describes it as "bacterial SSU rRNA". It matches the Rfam family "Bacterial small subunit ribosomal RNA", at positions 19 to 518 of the family's 1533-position model. The record is from RNAcentral.